This 69-nucleotide transfer RNA is filed under the name Coscinasterias acutispina. RNAcentral's name for it is "tRNA-Trp". It matches the Rfam family "tRNA". Rfam says of the family: Transfer RNA (tRNA) molecules are approximately 80 nucleotides in length. Lineage: Eukaryota; Metazoa; Echinodermata; Asteroidea; Forcipulatida; Asteriidae. The record is from RNAcentral.
AGAGAUUUAAGUUAAUCAAACUAAAAACCUUCAAAGUUUUUAAUGGGGGUGAAAAUCUCCUAGUCUCUA